CCCAGAUCUCUGCAGCCCAGCUUGCUUUUGUCCUAGACUAAAUCGAUAGCAAUCCAGCCUCCAGAAGUCUAAUCUAUUUCUUUAUUUGCAGAGUCUCUCUGGGGUGACACCCUUGGCCAGAGAAGACAACACUGGCACUCUCCUGUCAGAGUCCGAAAGCUCAAGAUGUAGAUGCUGUUACCACCUUGCCUGGGGCUUCCUGCUACUUGGCUGUCUUGAGUCAACAAUAGCCAAGGGGACAGAAGAAAGAGAGAAAAGUUAUAUCUAUAUGUUUGAACACAGGUUUGAUCCCUAAUGGAAUGGACGCUGGAGAUGAGGCAAACACAGCCCAGAGAGAACCACCAUUGUGACGCAUUAGAGAAGCACCCAUGACGAUCAAUCACUGCUGAUGGUAAAUACAACAUAGAGGCUAUGAAAAUUCUUCAUUUUCUCCCCUUCUUAAACUAAUCCUGCUUACACAGUGCUGUUUUGACUGUUGAAUUGAUGGAGGUGUUGAAUUGUGGAUAUUGGAUUGUGACUCACUGUGGGCACUUUUAAUCAGACCAGGGUCCAGGGUAUUCUGAGUUUAAAAUAUUUUCGUUUUGGACUUUCGCUGUUGUAUUCCAAGAAGAGGGAAGAGGAAGUUGGUGUCAUGAGGGAGUUAGGAGACCAGGGGUCUCGGUUUAUUUUCACAUCAGCCGCUUAGGGCUUUGGUUCCUCAUGCCUUAGCCUGAAUUAGGUUCCCAUCAGUGUGAAUGAUGUGAGUGUGAUGUCUUAAACUUUAUCCUGGGUGGGUCUAGUGUCCCUCACAAAGAGCAAAGGAAACCCAAGGCCCAAGGAACUGUACCAGGCACCAGAAAGACAAAUGAAGAGUCUUUGGGCUUCUGAGUUCUCAAUUUUAAAUCCCAACCUCUGUAGAAAGCCUGGAGGUCAAAGCCAGCCAGGUUUGAAUAAGUCAG
RNAcentral lists this long non-coding RNA (938 nucleotides) under Rattus norvegicus (Norway rat). RNAcentral's name for it is "long non-coding RNA NONRATT031593". Lineage: Eukaryota; Metazoa; Chordata; Mammalia; Rodentia; Muridae. The record is from RNAcentral.